Molecule: ribosomal RNA, 492 nt
Filed under: uncultured bacterium
Lineage: Bacteria
Description: partial 16S ribosomal RNA
Rfam family: Bacterial small subunit ribosomal RNA
Source: RNAcentral
AGUGAACGCUGGCGGUAGGCCUAACACAUGCAAGUCGAACGGCAGCACAGUAAGAGCUUGCUCUUACGGGUGGCGGGUGGCGGACGGGUGAGGAAUACAUCGGAAUCUACUUUUUCGUGGGGGAUAACGUAGGGAAACUUACGCUAAUACCGCAUACGACCUACGGGUGAACGCAGAGGAUCUUCGGACCUUGCGCGAUUGAAUGAGCCGAUGUCGGAUUAGCUAGUUGGCGGGGUAAAGGCCCACCAAGGCGACGAUCCGUAGCUGGUCUGAGAGGAUGAUCAGCCACACUGGAACUGAGACACGGUCCAGACUCCUACGGGAGGCAGCAGUGGGGAAUAUUGGACAAUGGGCGCAAGCCUGAUCCAGCCAUACCGCGUGGGUGAAGAAGGCCUUCGGGUUGUAAAGCCCUUUUGUUGGGAAAGAAAAGCAGCAGGUUAAUACCCCGCUGUUCUGACGGUACCCAAAGAAUAAGCACCGGCUAACUUCGUG